GGCAUUCCAAUGCAUUGUGAAACUUUCUGUGGGCUGUACCGAUCACAUCUGAGGGCUGAGUCAUGCUCAGAAGCUGCUGCAAUUACUGAGAUUUGAAGUGAAAAGGCAAAUAGGAUGGGUAAAAAAAAUGAGACAAUAACUGAGCAAGCCAGACUAUGGCCAAAAUGAAAGGUGAAGAACUCUUACCCUUUGGACCUGUGGUGCAAUACCCAGGCCCCAGGGGGGACACAGGUGGGGAGCCAGAGACUGGGGAUCUUAUUGCCAGAUUAGCUGCCCUACCCAGGAGCACCCCUUCUUCUAUUUCCCCUUCCUCCCUCCCUUUUUUCUUGCCCUCUCUUCUUUCAUGUCUCUUUAUCUUUUCCCCCACAUAUAUCUUCUCCUUUUUUGUCACCCUAGGCCUGGUGUGGUGCCCAGUGGUACCUAGGGACGGUGCGAAGAUUCAUCGGUGACACUCAACAUUGGUUCAGCGAUCUUAUACCAGACCACGCUUUCCACAUCCUCCACAAUACUCAUAUCCGAAAGUGUUAAUUCUGGAAAGAAUUGUUAGCACAGAAAGGAGAAGGAGUAGCAACAUACAAAACCUCAAGGAAGAAUUGAAGAAAAAUGGAUAAAACCAGAGUGCCAACAAA
RNAcentral lists this long non-coding RNA (629 nucleotides) under Homo sapiens (human). RNAcentral's name for it is "HSALNT0373039". The record is from RNAcentral. Lineage: Eukaryota; Metazoa; Chordata; Mammalia; Primates; Hominidae.